UGAUUGGACAGUAUUCCAGGAACGUGUGUGUGUGUGUGUGUUGAUUGGACAGUAUUCCAGGAACGUGUGUGUGUGUGUGAUUGGACGGUAUUCCAGGAACGUGUGUGUGUGUGUUGAUUGGACAGUAUUCCAGGAACGUGUGUGUGUGUUGGUUGGACGGUAUUCCAGGAACGUGUGUGUGUGUGUUGGUUGGACGGUAUUCCAGGAACGUGUGUGUGUGUUGAUUGGACAGUAUUCCAGGAACGUGUGUGUGUGUUGGUUGGACGGUAUUCCAGGAACGUGUGUGUGUGUGUUGGUUGGACGGUAUUCCAGGAACGUGAACGUGUGUGUGUUGAUUGGACGGUAUUCCAGGAACGUGUGUGUGUGUUGAUUGGACGGUAUUCCAGGAACGUGUGUGUGUGUGUUGAUUGGACAGUAUUCCAGGAACGUAUGUGUGUGUUCAUGGGCAUAGUAAGAGAGCUAGUUUCCAUGUACAACUCGUAGUAUUGAAGGUGGUAUUCCAGGAACGUGUGUGUGUGUUGGUUGGACAGUAUUCCAGGAACGUGUGUGUGUAAUGAUUGGAUGGUAUUCCAGGAACGUGUGUGUGUGUGUUCAUGGGCAUAGUGAGAGAGCUAGUUUCCAUGUACAACUCGUAGUAUCAGCACACACACACACAUCAUAUAUGCCACUCACUUAACCUGAAACUACUGUAUGUGCGUGUGUGGAAAAAGCGAGGGUAAUUGCCAGACUAACCCUGCUGAUGGGGCCUCUCUUGGGGGGGCUAACAACCCAGAUUCUAUGUCAACGUGUGUGUGUUUGUGUGUGUCGCACGUGUCCUGCAGCUAGAUUUUAUUUUUACAAUGGCUGUGGCUUUAACCCUAACCCAAUGGCUGUGGCUUUAACCCUAACCCAAUGGCUGUGGCUUUAACCCUAACCCAAUGGCUGUAGCUUUAACCCUAACCCAAUGGCUGUAGCUUUAACCCUAACCCAAUGGCUGUAGAUUUAACCCUAACCCAAUGGCUGUAGCCCUCACCCUAACCCUAACCCAAUGGCUGUCACAUUAACCCUAACCCAAUGGCUGUAGCUUUAACCCUAACUCAAUGGCUGUCACAUUAACCCUAACCAAA
Molecule: long non-coding RNA, 1106 nt
Organism: Oncorhynchus tshawytscha (Chinook salmon)
Lineage: Eukaryota; Metazoa; Chordata; Actinopteri; Salmoniformes; Salmonidae
Source: Ensembl